UACAGAGGGUGCAAGCGUUAAUCGGAAUUACUGGGCGUAAAGCGCGCGUAGACGGUGGCGUAAGUCGGGUGUGAAAGCCCCGGGCUCAACCUGGGAAUUGCAUUCGAGACUGUGUCGCUAGGGUGCGGAAGAGGGAAGUGGAAUUUCCGGUGUAGCGGUGAAAUGCGUAGAUAUCGGAAGGAACAUCAGUGGCGAAAGCGACUUCCUGGUCCAGCACCGACGUUCAGGCGCGAAAGCGUGGGGAGCAAACAGGAUUAGAAACCCUAGUAGUCC
Molecule: ribosomal RNA, 273 nt
Filed under: uncultured bacterium
Lineage: Bacteria
Description: partial 16S ribosomal RNA
Rfam family: Bacterial small subunit ribosomal RNA
Source: RNAcentral